RNAcentral lists this transfer RNA (58 nucleotides) under Bactericera gobica. RNAcentral describes it as "tRNA-Leu". Lineage: Eukaryota; Metazoa; Arthropoda; Insecta; Hemiptera; Triozidae. The record is from RNAcentral.
UUGUGACAGAAUUAAUGUGUUAAAUUUAAAAUUUAAUUAUGAAUCAUUUCCUUUAGAA